RNAcentral lists this ribosomal RNA (254 nucleotides) under uncultured bacterium. RNAcentral's name for it is "partial 16S ribosomal RNA". It matches the Rfam family "Bacterial small subunit ribosomal RNA", at positions 524 to 777 of the family's 1533-position model. The record is from RNAcentral.
UACGUAGGAGGCGAGCGUUGUCCGGAAUUACUGGGCGUAAAGCGCGCGUAGGUGGCGCUGUACGAGCGGUGUGAAAGCCCCCGGCUCAACUGGGGAGGGUCACGCGAUACUGAUCGACUCGAAGGCAGGAGAGGGAAGUGGAAUUCCCGGUGUAGUGGUGAAAUGCGUAGAUAUCGGGAGGAACACCAGUGGCGAAGGCGACUUCCUGGCCUGUUCUUGACGCUGAGGCGCGAAAGCUAGGGGAGCAAACGGGG